This 914-nucleotide long non-coding RNA is filed under the name Anas platyrhynchos platyrhynchos (common mallard). Its description in RNAcentral is "lncRNA (ENSAPLG00000030465.1)". The record is from RNAcentral. Lineage: Eukaryota; Metazoa; Chordata; Aves; Anseriformes; Anatidae.
AUGCUUACUAACAGUGUAUUCCAAUUCCAUCUGCUAGGCUGAAAGGAAUUAAUAUUAGGUCUGUCACUAAAGACAUUUGGAUGUCCCUGCUAACUCCUUUCUGUAAUCACACAUUGCAAAGCUUCCUACUGUUCUUCUGAGCAGUCUUGUCCUGACUGCUUACUGACACAACAAGCCAAAGAAAGUACUUCAGCAGGGAAAGCAACCUUACCAACAAGGAGACACAAGACAGCCAUUCCUUUCUGCUCAAGGCUUGGUUUUGUUGGUGUGCAGAAGGGGAGCAGAGAAGGUCUACCAGGGCUGUCUGGAUGUAUGGAGACCCCAGCAUGAACAGGAAAAAAGGACAGCAACCUCCAGGUGUUACAGGAGGAGCUGGGGAAGACGGUCCAGAUGGAGAACAGAGAAGAGGCUUCAGCACUGGAAUAGAUCCACAGUGAGAGCAUCAAUGAUGACACUUCCAGACCCUCCGUCCCAUCAGCCUGAGGCAGUCUGCAACCCACAAAAGUCCUCUACAAACUCAGAAAUUCAUCACAAAGUUCUUGUGUAUCCUGGAGUAACAAUGGCAAAUGAAAGAUUUGGGGCCAUCAUAAAUAAAUGAAAAGUAAGAUAAAACAAACAAACAAACAAACAAAAACUGAUGACACAGGACAAGAGAAAAAAUUGUAUUAAAACUUCAUUUUUAGUGUCAGUCAAGGGAAUUUCCUUUAAAAAUCAUCAUUGGAAAGAAGACAUAAUAAUAUAUAUAUGGUUUUCUCACUGAGAAAGGCAACUUAUCAUUUCUCUGUUUCUUUCUUUCUUUCUUUCUUUCUUUCUUUCUUUCUUUCUUUCUUUCUUUCUUUCUGCUUUGUUUAUUUUAAUGACACAUAUGUAGUUUUACUUUUAUUUCACUAUGUGUUAAAAAAGUUUUAAAUGAA